UACGGGGGGAGCAAGCGUUGUUCGGAUUUACUGGGCGUAAAGGGCGCGUAGGCGGCGUGACAAGUCACUUGUGAAAUCUCCGGGCUUAACUCGGAACGGUCAAGUGAUACUGUCGUGCUAGAGUACAGAAGGGGCAACUGGAAUUCUCGGUGUAGCGGUGAAAUGCGUAGAUAUCGAGAGGAACACCUGCGGCGAAGGCGGGUUGCUGGGCUGACACUGACGCUGAGGCGCGAAAGCGUGGGGAGCGAACAGG
This 253-nucleotide ribosomal RNA is filed under the name uncultured bacterium. RNAcentral's name for it is "partial 16S ribosomal RNA". It matches the Rfam family "Bacterial small subunit ribosomal RNA", at positions 524 to 776 of the family's 1533-position model. The record is from RNAcentral.